UGACUGUACCUGAAAAACAAGCCACGGCUAACUACGUGCCAGCAGCCGCGGUAAUACGUAGGUGGCAAGCGUUAUCCGGAUUUACUGGGUGUAAAGGGCGUGUAGGCGGUUUAGUAAGUCGGAUGUGAAAUUCUCGGGCUUAACCCGGGCACUGCAUCCGAAACUACAAAACUUGAGUACUGGAGAGGAUAGUGGAAUUCCUAGUGUAGCGGUAAAUGCGUAGAUUUAGGAGGAACACCGGUGGCGAGGCGACUAUCUGGACAGUACUGACGCUGAGGCGCAAACGGGGGAGAAACAG
This 298-nucleotide ribosomal RNA is filed under the name uncultured Bacillota bacterium. RNAcentral describes it as "uncultured Firmicutes bacterium partial 16S ribosomal RNA". It matches the Rfam family "Bacterial small subunit ribosomal RNA", at positions 470 to 771 of the family's 1533-position model. The record is from RNAcentral. Lineage: Bacteria; Bacillati; Bacillota.